CGAAGGGGCGUAGCGUUGUUCGGAAUUACUGGGCGUAAAGCGCACGUAGGCGGAUAUUUAAGUCAGGGGUGAAAUCCCAGAGCUCAACUCUGGAACUGCCUUUGAUACUGGGUAUCUUGAGUAUGGAAGAGGUAAGUGGAAUUCCGAGUGUAGAGGUGAAAUUCGUAGAUAUUCGGAGGAACACCAGUGGCGAAGGCGGCUUACUGGUCCAUUACUGACGCUGAGGUGCGAAAGCGUGGGGAGCAAACAGGAUU
RNAcentral lists this ribosomal RNA (254 nucleotides) under uncultured bacterium. Its description in RNAcentral is "partial 16S ribosomal RNA". It matches the Rfam family "Bacterial small subunit ribosomal RNA", at positions 526 to 779 of the family's 1533-position model. The record is from RNAcentral.